UAUCCCCCAAACUAAGGGGGGAUGAGAACCACUGACCGGGGUUCGACAACUGGCGCAGCCAGUUGGACAGACGACGAGCCUGCGAGGAGACUGCCCGAAGGGCGAGCGCAGCGAAUUAAUCCCCCCCCUCACCGCCA
RNAcentral lists this small RNA (137 nucleotides) under Salmonella enterica. Its description in RNAcentral is "RtT sRNA". It matches the Rfam family "RtT RNA". Rfam says of the family: This family represents a bacterial cis-regulatory element known as RtT RNA. RNAcentral also lists the same sequence under 1 other name. The record is from RNAcentral. Lineage: Bacteria; Pseudomonadati; Pseudomonadota; Gammaproteobacteria; Enterobacterales; Enterobacteriaceae.